AAUUAAUGAGCUUGUAACAAGCAUUUGUUUUGAAAACUUAAGAAAAGAAUAAAUAUUCUUAUUAAUUU
Molecule: transfer RNA, 68 nt
Filed under: Biston panterinaria
Lineage: Eukaryota; Metazoa; Arthropoda; Insecta; Lepidoptera; Geometridae
Description: tRNA-Ser
Source: RNAcentral